This 72-nucleotide transfer RNA is filed under the name Marmota monax (woodchuck). RNAcentral describes it as "tRNA.Val". It matches the Rfam family "tRNA". Rfam says of the family: Transfer RNA (tRNA) molecules are approximately 80 nucleotides in length. Their secondary structure includes four short double-helical elements and three loops (D, anti-codon, and T loops). The record is from RNAcentral. Lineage: Eukaryota; Metazoa; Chordata; Mammalia; Rodentia; Sciuridae.
GGGGAUAUAGCUCAACUGGCAAAGUGCUUGCCUUACAUGCAUGAGGCCCUGGGUUCAAUCCCCAGUACCACA